This 2893-nucleotide ribosomal RNA is filed under the name Acinetobacter baumannii. Its description in RNAcentral is "23S ribosomal RNA". It matches the Rfam family "Bacterial large subunit ribosomal RNA". Lineage: Bacteria; Pseudomonadati; Pseudomonadota; Gammaproteobacteria; Moraxellales; Moraxellaceae. The record is from RNAcentral.
AGUCAAGUAAUUAAGUGCAUGUGGUGGAUGCCUUGGCAGUCAGAGGCGAUGAAAGACGUGAUAGCCUGCGAAAAGCUCCGGGGAGGCGGCAAAUAUCCUUUGAUCCGGAGAUGUCUGAAUGGGGGAACCCACCUACUUUAAGGUAGGUAUUGCAACAUGAAUACAUAGUGUUGCAAGGCGAACGAGGGGAAGUGAAACAUCUCAGUACCCUUAGGAAAAGAAAUCAAUUGAGAUUCCCUCAGUAGCGGCGAGCGAACGGGGAUCAGCCCAUUAAGUUAUGUGUGUUUUAGUGGAACGCUCUGGGAAGUGCGAACGUAGAGGGUGAUAUUCCCGUACACGAAAGGGCACACAUAAUGAUGACGAGUAGGGCGAGGCACGUGAAACCUUGUCUGAAUAUGGGGGGACCAUCCUCCAAGGCUAAAUUACUCCUGACUGACCGAUAGUGAACCAGUACCGUGAGGGAAAGGCGAAAAGAACCCCUGUGAGGGGAGUGAAAUAGAUCCUGAAACCGCAUGCAUACAAGCAGUGGGAGCACCUUCGUGGUGUGACUGCGUACCUUUUGUAUAAUGGGUCAGCGACUUAUAUUCAGUAGCGAGGUUAACCGUAUAGGGGAGCCGUAGAGAAAUCGAGUCUUAAUAGGGCGUUUAGUUGCUGGGUAUAGACCCGAAACCAGGCGAUCUAUCCAUGAGCAGGUUGAAGGUUGGGUAACACUAACUGGAGGACCGAACCCACUGUCGUUGAAAAGCCAGGGGAUGACUUGUGGAUAGGGGUGAAAGGCUAAUCAAGCCUGGUGAUAGCUGGUUCUCCCCGAAAGCUAUUUAGGUAGCGCCUCGGACGAAUACCAUAGGGGGUAGAGCACUGUUUCGGCUAGGGGGUCAUCCCGACUUACCAAACCGAUGCAAACUCCGAAUACCUAUGAGUACUAUCCGGGAGACAGACUGCGGGUGCUAACGUCCGUAGUCAAGAGGAAAACAAUCCAGACCGCCAGCUAAGGCCCCAAAAUCAUAGUUAAGUGGGAAACGAUGUGGGAAGGCAUAGACAGCUAGGAGGUUGGCUUAGAAGCAGCCACCCUUUAAAGAAAGCGUAAUAGCUCACUAGUCGAGUCGGCCUGCGCGGAAGAUGUAACGGGGCUAAAACUAUGUGCCGAAGCUGCGGAUGUAUACUUUGUAUACGUGGUAGGGGAGCGUUCUGUAAGCCGAUGAAGGUGUGUUGAGAAGCAUGCUGGAGGUAUCAGAAGUGCGAAUGCUGACGUGAGUAACGACAAAACGGGUGAAAAACCCGUUCGCCGAAAGACCAAGGGUUCCAGUCCAACGUUAAUCGGGGCUGGGUGAGUCGACCCCUAAGGCGAGGCCGAAAGGCGUAGUCGAUGGGAAAAUGGUUAAUAUUCCAUUACUUCUGUGUAAUGCGAUGAGAGGACGGAGAAGGCUAAAUCAGCCUGGCGUUGGUUGUCCAGGUGAAAGGAUGUAGGCAUGUAUCUUAGGCAAAUCCGGGGUACUCUAUGCUGAGAUCUGAUAGCAAGCUGUACUUGUACAGCGAAGUGGUUGAUGCCAUGCUUCCAGGAAAAGUCUCUAAGCUUCAGUUACACAGGAAUCGUACCCGAAACCGACACAGGUGGUCAGGUCGAGUAGACCAAGGCGCUUGAGAGAACUCUGCUGAAGGAACUAGGCAAAAUGGUACCGUAACUUCGGGAGAAGGUACGCUGUUGUUGGUGAUGGAACUCGCUUCCUGAGCUGACGACAGCCGCAGAAACCAGGCCGCUGCAACUGUUUAUUAAAACAUAGCACUCUGCAAACACGAAAGUGGACGUAUAGGGUGUGAUGCCUGCCCGGUGCUGGAAGGUUAAUUGAUGGGGUUAGCGUAAGCGAAGCUCUUGAUCGAAGCCCCAGUAAACGGCGGCCGUAACUAUAACGGUCCUAAGGUAGCGAAAUUCCUUGUCGGGUAAGUUCCGACCUGCACGAAUGGCAUAAUGAUGGCGGCGCUGUCUCCAGCAGAGGCUCAGUGAAAUCGAAAUCGCUGUGAAGAUGCAGUGUACCCGCGGCUAGACGGAAAGACCCCGUGAACCUUUACUGCAGCUUGACACUGAACUUUGACCUUACUUGUGUAGGAUAGGUGGGAGGCUUUGAAGCUGGAACGCUAGUUCCAGUGGAGCCGUCCUUGAAAUACCACCCUGGUAAUGUUGAGGUUCUAACUCUGUCCCGUGAUCCGGGACGAGGACCGUGUCUGGUGGGUAGUUUGACUGGGGCGGUCUCCUCCUAAAGAGUAACGGAGGAGUACGAAGGUGCGCUCAGCGUGGUCGGAAAUCACGCGUAGAGUAUAAAGGCAAAAGCGCGCUUAACUGCGAGACCCACAAGUCGAGCAGGUACGAAAGUAGGUCUUAGUGAUCCGGUGGUUCUGUAUGGAAGGGCCAUCGCUCAACGGAUAAAAGGUACUCUGGGGAUAACAGGCUGAUACCGCCCAAGAGUUCAUAUCGACGGCGGUGUUUGGCACCUCGAUGUCGGCUCAUCUCAUCCUGGGGCUGAAGCAGGUCCCAAGGGUAUGGCUGUUCGCCAUUUAAAGAGGUACGCGAGCUGGGUUUAGAACGUCGUGAGACAGUUCGGUCCCUAUCUACCGUGGGCGCUGGAAAUUUGAGAGGAUCUGCUCCUAGUACGAGAGGACCAGAGUGGACGAACCUCUGGUGUACCGGUUGUGACGCCAGUCGCAUCGCCGGGUAGCUAUGUUCGGAAGGGAUAACCGCUGAAAGCAUCUAAGCGGGAAGCCUACCUCAAGAUAAGAUUUCCCUAGGACUUUAUGUCCUCUAAAGAGCCGUUCGAGACUAGGACGUUGAUAGGUUGGAUGUGGAAGCAUAGUGAUAUGUGAAGCUGACCAAUACUAAUUGCUCGUGAGGCUUGACUAU